This 253-nucleotide ribosomal RNA is filed under the name uncultured bacterium. RNAcentral's name for it is "partial 16S ribosomal RNA". It matches the Rfam family "Bacterial small subunit ribosomal RNA", at positions 524 to 776 of the family's 1533-position model. The record is from RNAcentral.
UACGUAGGGUGCAAGCGUUAAUCGGAAUUACUGGGCGUAAAGCGUGCGCAGGCGGUUUUGUAAGUCUGUUGUGAAAUCCCCGGGCUCAACCUGGGAAUGGCAAUGGAGACUGCAAGGCUAGAGUUUGGCAGAGGGGGGUAGAAUUCCACGUGUAGCAGUGAAAUGCGUAGAGAUGUGGAGGAAUACCGAUGGCGAAGGCAGCCCCCUGGGCCAAUACUGACGCUCAUGCACGAAAGCGUGGGGAGCAAACAGG